AUACGGAGGGGACAAGCGUUAUUCGGAAUCACUGGGCGUAAAGGACGCGUAGGCGGGUUAUUAAGUCGGGUGUGAAAUCCAAUGGCUCAACCAUUGAACUGCAUUCGAAACUGAUAACCUAGAGUAUGGAAGGGGCAGGUGGAAUUAGUGGUGUAGGGGUAAAAUCCGUAGAUAUCACUAGGAAUACCGAAAGCGAAGGCGACCUGCUGGGACAUUACUGACGCUGAGGCGUGAAAGCAUGGGGAGCAAACAGGAUUAGAAACCCCAGUAGUCC
Molecule: ribosomal RNA, 274 nt
Filed under: uncultured bacterium
Lineage: Bacteria
Description: partial 16S ribosomal RNA
Rfam family: Bacterial small subunit ribosomal RNA
Source: RNAcentral